This 253-nucleotide ribosomal RNA is filed under the name uncultured bacterium. RNAcentral describes it as "partial 16S ribosomal RNA". It matches the Rfam family "Bacterial small subunit ribosomal RNA", at positions 524 to 776 of the family's 1533-position model. The record is from RNAcentral.
GACAGAGGGGGCAAGCGUUGUCCGGAGUUACUGGGCGUAAAGGGCGCGGAGGUGGUCUGCGGCGUCGGCGCUGAAAGCGCCCCGCUUAACGGGGCGAGGCGUGCCGAUACGCGCAGACUUGAGGCGAGCAGAGGGUGGUGGAAUUCCGGGUGGAGCGGUGAAAUGCGUAGAGAUCCGGAGGAACGCCAGUGGGGAAGCCGGCCACCUGGGCUCGUCCUGACGCUGCGGCGCGACCGCGUGGGGAGCAAACCGG